AGUAACGCGUGGGAAUCUACCCAGUUCUCUGGAAUAACUGAUGGAAACGUCAGCUAAUACCGGAUACGCCCUUUUGGGGAAAGAUUUAUCGGGAUUGGAUGAGCCCGCGUAAGAUUAGCUAGUUGGUGGGGUAA
This 134-nucleotide ribosomal RNA is filed under the name Pelagibacterium sp. RNAcentral describes it as "partial 16S ribosomal RNA". It matches the Rfam family "Bacterial small subunit ribosomal RNA", at positions 109 to 260 of the family's 1533-position model. Lineage: Bacteria; Pseudomonadati; Pseudomonadota; Alphaproteobacteria; Hyphomicrobiales; Devosiaceae. The record is from RNAcentral.